CGUGUGCUUUGUGAAGUUGCCCUUGGAAAAGCAAAUUUAUUCAGCAUCAAAAGGAACCAGACUACCAUUCUGCUGUUGGGACGCUGGACGACAAGUAGGAAAAAAAAAAAAAAAGUAAAAAAUAAAACAAAUUGCA
Long non-coding RNA from Sphaeramia orbicularis (orbiculate cardinalfish), 136 nucleotides. RefSeq lists it as uncharacterized. NCBI's taxonomy places the organism in Eukaryota, Metazoa, Chordata, Actinopteri, Kurtiformes, Apogonidae. The transcript is spliced from 3 exons. The record is from RefSeq and is a predicted model, not a curated record.